Molecule: transfer RNA, 73 nt
Filed under: Cricetulus griseus (Chinese hamster)
Lineage: Eukaryota; Metazoa; Chordata; Mammalia; Rodentia; Cricetidae
Rfam family: tRNA
About the family: Transfer RNA (tRNA) molecules are approximately 80 nucleotides in length.
Source: Rfam by way of RNAcentral
GAGUACAUAGUUCAGUGGGUAAGAACACUUGCUAUGCAAGCAGGAGGACCAGAGUUCAAAUCCUGAGAACCCA